This 253-nucleotide ribosomal RNA is filed under the name uncultured bacterium. Its description in RNAcentral is "partial 16S ribosomal RNA". It matches the Rfam family "Bacterial small subunit ribosomal RNA", at positions 524 to 776 of the family's 1533-position model. The record is from RNAcentral.
UACGGGUGGUGCAAGCGUUGUUCGGAAUUACUGGGCGUAAAGGGCUCGUAGGCGGCCAACUAAGUCAGACGUGAAAUCCCUCGGCUUAACCGGGGAACUGCAUCUGAUACUGGAUGGCUUGAGUUCGGGAGAGGGAUGCGGAAUUCCAGGUGUAGCGGUGAAAUGCGUAGAUAUCUGGAGGAACACCGGUGGCGAAGGCGGCAUCCUGGACCGGCACUGACGCUGAGGAGCGAAAGCCAGGGGAGCAAACGGG